CGGGGCGGGCCGAGCGCGACGGGUCCGCGGGGAGCGACGGGGGUUCCCGAAGCCCGAGCGGGCCGGGCCUGACAAAGUGUCUGCCCGCCGCUCUGCGCGCUCUGCCGGCCCGCGGGCGCUGCUCCCGCGCUGCGUCACCUCAGGCACCGAGGCGCGGCGGAUCCCGGGGCGGACGGGACCUGCAAGGCAGCGGCUUGUAUCUGUACACUGGAGAAAGGUGGAUUGGAAAGGAUUGGGGAUUGAUGGAAGAACUGGAGCCUGAUUGCUGUGAGGAGGGACUGUGCCUUCAGCCUGGAAGGGGAUCUCAUCCAUGUCCAUAGAGGGAGGUGCAGGGAAGACAGAGCCACGCUCCUGUCAGCUGUAGCAGCACCAGGACCAGAGGUAUUGAGCAUGAACUGGAGCUCAGGACAUGAUGGUCCAAGAGGAAGGAAAGGACAAGGGAAGUUGUACAGAAGAAACAAUUCCAAAAUCACAAGCUGUACCUGUAUUUGUAGCACGCCUCUGUGCAAAGCUGUUUGUGAGCUGCAGGCUGUAACUGCUCGGAUAGCUGACAUUUUUCAUGUGGUUAUGAAGACCUGCCACAGUCCCGAACACGUUGUGGCUUGCAGGAAAGCCACUGUAAUUUGAAUGAUUGUGCUAAUUAAGAAAUAUAAUGCCAAUGGGAAUUUAGCUUCAUCUCAAAUGGCCAAGGAGGAACGGCAGCCUUUGAGUGCCUGGCUGGGAGGUAAUUCCCCUUCACAAGUCAGUAGAGAUGCAAAAAGGCUCAACAGAUGCUGCAGGAAGCAGUGCCUGUGGGGCAGCAGCUGGGUGAGGUGCUCCCUGGAUGGGAGCUGCUGGACAUGGGCAAUCUCAUGCCCCAGGGAAUGAUCCUUCCCACAGCAGUGCGAGCCGGUUGGAGAGUGCAGGAUGAGGAGGAAGAUUUGGGAUGGGGUUUUUAGCAUUUGGAGGAUGUUGACUCAUGAAUCAAGCAGUCUUCCAACCUAGUUUAUUAAAUACUUGCAAGCAUUG
Coturnix japonica (Japanese quail) is the source of this 1008-nucleotide non-coding RNA. NCBI's taxonomy places the organism in Eukaryota, Metazoa, Chordata, Aves, Galliformes, Phasianidae. The record is from RefSeq and is a predicted model, not a curated record.